This is a long non-coding RNA of Ostrea edulis (European flat oyster), 6016 nucleotides long. RefSeq lists it as uncharacterized. NCBI's taxonomy places the organism in Eukaryota, Metazoa, Mollusca, Bivalvia, Ostreida, Ostreidae. The record is from RefSeq and is a predicted model, not a curated record. The transcript has 4 exons.
UCUUGUUAAUCAAAGAUCGAUAACGUAAUAUUUUUACUUAGGAAAAGCUUAAGUGUACAUAUUUUUUAGGUCACCUGAAACACUCGUAUAACCUGUUGCUAUUGGUCUGUAUCCGUCGUUGUCCAUCUUGUGUUAACUAGUCAACAUUAGGGAGAGGGCUGACAUAGGCUGUAUCUGCUGCCCAAUCCCAUUCAUUUUGUGAAUAAUAUAUUGUUUUAAUUGGAUAUUGUUUGAUAUCCCACUUGAGAAUUUUUCACGAAUAAAGAUAUAUUGUUUUUAUAUGCCCAUCUUUAGAUGGAAUGUAUUAUGGUACAGCGAUGUCUGUUACGUCCAUUCGUCUGUUCAGGGUUUUCUGUUUCUAAUUUCAUUUCUCUGUCACACAUUAAGGUAGAGACCGAUAGCAACCACGUGAUCAGUAAAAAUCGUGUAUUUUCACGUGAAAUUAUUUUUCGGAAUUCCGUACAUCGCCAUAGAGUAGUUGAAAAACAAAAAGGGGUUCCGAAAGUACAAGUUGUUGCUGUGACUGAAUCGAUGAUUGAGAGGGUCGUCUCGACGAAAGAUAUAGAAAUUUGGCCAUAGUUUAGAUUAGGAAUACGUCAAUGUAAUAAUAGUGGACUAAAUGUUUCGUCCGUGCAGAAUGGCACUUUUUACCUCACGAAAUCCACCACCAUGCAUAGCUGCGCUACGUAAACAAAGUUGUUGAUGUAGCGUAAUCGUGAUGUCCGAGUGCUGCGAGUUUCAAUACUGUUUAUGUAGUCAUUGAGAGUUUAAACAAAGUUUCUUCUGAGAAGAGGAAUUCGAUGGAUGCAUUCAACGUGGACAACGAAAUCAUAAUUUCGUUUGCAUCAUCCUAAGGACCAGUGCAAGUUGAAAUGGGCUUCCAGCCAACAACUUCAACAGCAAUUUGCCAUGAAAAUCAGCAAGAAAGGUACUUCAUUUACAUUGAUGAUGUCAUAUCCCCUGGACCCCACAACUUUACAGUUUACAGAGAAAAUUCAAGAACUUCUGCAAAAUGUGGGACUUGGAUAGAAUCAAUAAUGUAUUUGUGAGCCCAGAGCAAUGGAUAUAUUGUGCAACAUACUAAAGUGUGAAUUUAAUGGAAAACAAGUACAUGUACUCAUGUAUUACAUGUCUUUUUUAAAGACAAUAAUAUUGUAUAAAUAUAGAGGAAGUGUCAUUGUUGAUUAUUCUAAGUUUUUGAUAUAUCAAAAUCAGUAAACAUUUCUAAAUGAAAAUAAAAUACCAAUUUUAUAACUUUAAUCAAUGUGUUUGAGAUGACCUUCAAAACGGAUGCCCAGUGUCACAGUAGAUGUGGCACGCUAAAGAACCCUCACUGCUCAAUGGCCGUAAGCGCCGAGCAAAGGCCUAAAUUUAAAGCCAUUCACCGGUCUUGGUAACGUCUCCAUAUGAGUAAAAAAUUCUCUCGAGAGACGUUAAACAAGAUACAAUCAAUCAAUCCAUGGGUCGAUUGGGUGGAAAUCUUUCCAUUGAUAUUAAAUAUAAAGUUGUUAUUUAAACAUAUUUGGUGCACUAUGCUGUAUAAUCAUAUCAAUUUCUUAUAAUAGGUAAUCGUGUCUGGUUAUUAUAAAAAAAAUGUAUGAAAAAUAACUAAAUAUUAAUGCAAUCAUUGUGAGUGCAAAAAGGUCAAUCGCAAGAGCACAUACAUAAAUGCAUUGGCGGAUAUAAGGGGUGGGGUGGGGUGGGGUGGGGGGCAACCUGCGCGAGCCCCCCUAAAAUUUUCAAGUUUAAAGUAAAUCGUGGUCUCUUGUUUAGAGAAAUAUAUACGAUAAAAGCCAUAAUUUCCUCCACUCUCAGAGAAAUAAAUGUCUGACAAAAUCUUUUGAUUUAUUGAAUUACUUUUAGUGGGAGAACUGCUACUUUUUCCAAAAACCCUUAAAAUUUGCAUUAUUUUAUUAAUUUCACCUUAUUAAAAAUGACAGAAAAUAAUAAAAAUUACUACAUAGGAGACAUAUUUUAAGCCCUAAAAAAUCUGUAAAAUCCAGGAGUUUCUGGGGAAUCCCCCCCCCUUCAAGGCGGCCCCCAGACCCCUGCCUCAUACAGUUGCACCCCCCCUCCCAACUUCAAUUCCUGAUCCGCCCCUGAAAUAGCUUAUAGAAACCUUCUUAUUGUCAUGUUCAAUUUUCAAAGAGGUAAUUUGGGAAUGCUUAAACAUUCUAAGUUAUAAAAAGGUCAGUAGUUUAUCUCUGCUGGCUGAAUCUUUCUUCUCAAUGCACCGAGUGCAAUUCAUGACGUCUAUGUUCCUGCUCAUUCUUUCUCCUCCAUACCAUGCAGUAUAUUAAAGGGGUUGGGAUGUAAUGGAGACAUUUGUUUUAACAAAUAUAAAUUGUAUUUCAAUUUUUUGUGGGGAUUUUUAUUUGGGAAAACUCUUGAUAUUAAUCAUCAAAUAUGAUGACGUAUGAUAAAUCUAUAUUCUGAGUGUAAGUGCACAAAGGUCAACAACGAGAACUACAACAAAAUAUAAGCUAAAAUUUGAAAUACAUACUUUCUGUAUUAUAUUUAUUAAUUUAAAAAAGGUAUUACAAAGAAUCUUCGAAUUUCAGCAAGCUGUUUUUGAUGGAUUGUUUACAACAUCUUUUAAUAACCCUUUUUCUUACGAAAAUGUGUAGUUUGUUAAAAGGGGGUGGGGUUAGGAAUUUUUUGCUACUUCCAUAUUGAACCCCAUUAUGGUGUAUAAUUUUUUUCAUAUAUUUUACUUACUAAUAGACUGACCACUUAAUGAAAUAAAAUAAGAAAUUUGAUGGGUAAUUUUUUUGCAGCGUAAGCAAAGGUAUGACCCUGUGUGCAAAUAUUGUGCACUGUUUUAAGGUAAUUGGCCAAUGUAGAUCUGUUGAAGUAAUGUUGUUGCAUGUUAAUAAUGAUUGCUGAACUUGAAAUUGAUGUGUAAUAUACAAUUAUGUGAAAGGUUGUUUGGAACCAUAUAUGACAAGUUAUUAUCCUUUUUACAAUAAAAAUGUUAUAGCUCUAUUUGUAUAUUGCUCUCUACUUAUUUUUCUUCACUUUUUACGCUUUACAAGGACUAAAGAAGGUGUUGUUAAAAUCGCCAUAUUUCUCAAAAACAAGGUCGAUUACCUACAUUGAUUUUUUAUUAUGUUUUAUAUCGAAGCUUCAUUAUAAACAUAUAUCAAAAUAAAAAAAAUUCAAUGGUUAUUUUUUUUAGCAUCAACCUAUCAAUCUCUACCUUAAGCUGAAACUUGCUAUAUAGCUUCUUUGUGGAUCACUCUAGAUCAUGUUACAAUCCUGAUCCAUUUUGACCUCUCUUGCAGGAGUUUUGCCCCUUUAUUUGAAAAUUAUUGUUAUAUGGAAGGUAUAUAAUUUGUCCGGCGAACUCCUCCAACAAUUUUCAAGUGAGGACCAUCUUGAGGACCAUCUUCUCUUACAGAAUGUAUGUAUGGGUAUUGAAGGUGUACAUGUGGAUUUUGAUUUUCUUCAAUUUUGGAAAAAAUUAGAGGUUGUUGAACUUCGUCAAUUUUGAGAAAAUAUUACGAAGUCUGUUUUGAGAAAAUAUUACAAAGAGAGUACAUAAUUUGUUCAGUGAACUCCUCCCACAUUUUUCAAAUGAGAACCUUCUGAUUUUACAAAGUGUUUAUUUGGGUAUUGAAGGUAUAUAUGCAUGUGGCAAUGAUUUUGAUUUUCUUUAAUUUUCGAGAAAAUUACUGGUUAUUGAACAUAGUCAGUUUUGAGGAAUUAUUACAUAGAGAGUACACGAUUUGUCUGUUUUUCCUUCCACAGUUUUCAAGUGAGGACUUUCUUAUUUUACAGAGCAUUUGUAUGGGUAUGGAAGAUGUGAAUGUGGCAAGGAUUUUAAUUUUCUGAAAAUUUUGAGAAAAUUACAGGUUGUUGAAUUUAGUCAGUUUUGAGGAAAUAUUGCAUAGAGAGUACUGCAUGAUUUGUCUUUUAUUUUUCCUUUGACAGUUUUCAAGUGAGGACCUUAUUAUUUUACAGAUUAUUUGUUUAGGUAUCGAAGAUGUGCAUGUGGCAAGGAUUUUGAUUUUCUUCAUUUUUAAAGAAAAUUACAGGUUAUUGAACUCAGUCCAUUUUGAGGAAAUAUUGCAUUAAAUGAAGGACAUAGUUCGUCCUUAUAACUCUUCUCACAGUUUAGAAGCUAGGGUAAUUGUGAAUAACUUGAAGAUGCAUAGUGCAAGGAUUUUGAUUCUUAAAAUUUUUUUAUUUUCUUUGACAUUUUGAAUAUUUACAGGUUGUAGAACUUGGUCGAAUUUGGGGAAGUAUUUUACACGCAGAACUAUUGGUUUGUCUAUAUACCUCCUGUCAUAGUUUUAAGCUAAGACCCUUUCUUCAUAUUAUGCAAAGAAAGUACAUGUAUGUCACAGCCUGAUGUUGGCUGAUAUUACCUGAAGCAAAGUUCUACAAAUUAUGAUGCAAGAAAGACACCCUAUGUAAGCAUUUUCACGGGCAUAUUUGCGGUACUCUUGUUAAAAAAGAUAUUGAACAUUUUUAACUUCUUGACAAACACCAUUCCAAUUCUUUUCAAAUUUGAUAUGAAGCAUCUUAAGGACAAGGGAAACAAGAGUUAUAAAUUUCAGGACUCCUGCACCACUGUGGCUGUACAGGUGGGGCAAAAACUGCCAAAAAUUGACCAAUUUUAAAAAAUCAAUUUCUGCAACUACACACCUGUAAGAAAAACUGAAUACAUAGUCAUGGAGAGCAGGAAAGCCUCUACCAAAAUUGUAAAUAUCAUGAUCCCCAGGGUAGAGGGCUGGGCCAAACUUAGCAUGCAUAUAGUGUUAAUGUGUACAAUAUUUUUAAAAGGAACAGUUGCCCUUUAGCAUAAUUUGUAAAUGUCAUGAUCGUAGGGUUAGGGGUUUUGGUACCAGGGUGGGGCCAGAAUGGUCAUAUUGAUUUAUUGUGUUUUUAUUAUUUAAAAGACUUUUUAAAAUUUAAAUUAAAAAUUUUUGCUAAUAUUAUAUAUAAACUAAAUACAUAUUUAGGAAAAGCAGAAAGGGAUGACCAAAUUGUGAAUUUUACAAUCCCAGGGCUCUGACUCUAGGACGGGUCCAUAAUAGUCAUAUAUUAUUAAUAUAACAUAUAUAAUAUAAAGUUUUUCAUCAGUAUGGGCACUUUGGGGGUGGGAGGGGGGGCAUUUAUGUUUUUCUAAAAGAACACAUCUUAUUUUAUGCUGCUGCUGAAUAUCAAAAUUUAGCUUACAUAUGCAAAACUUAGAUUCCAUAGCCCUUUGGGCUAGUGAUACUUUUAACUACUACUCAGGUGACCGUCUAGUGAUACUUUUAACUACUACUCAGGUGACCGUCUAGUGAUACUUUUAACUACUACUCAGGUGACCGUCUAGUGAUACUUUUAACUAAUACUCAGGUGACCGUCUAGUGAUACUUUUAACUACUACUCAGGUGACCGUCUAGUGAUACUUUUAACUAAUACUCAGGUGACUGAUAGUGAUAACUUUUAACAAAUACUCAGGUGACCGUCUAGUGAUACUUUUAACUACUACUUAGGUGACCGUCUAGUGAUACUUUUAACUACUACUCAGGUGACCGUCUAGUGAUACUUUUAACUAAUACUCAGGUGACCGUCUAGUGAUACUUUUAACUACUACUCAGGUGACCGUCGAAUGAUACUUUUAACUAAUACUCAGGUGACCGUCUAGUGAUACUUUUAACUAAUACUCAGGUGACCGUCUAGUGAUACUUUUAACUACUACUCAGGUGACCGUCUAGUGAUACUUUUAACUAAUACUCACUGACAAGUGACCGUCUAGUGAUACUUUUAACUAAUACUCAGGUGACCAUCUAGUGAUACUUUUAACUACUACUCAGGUGACCUUCUAGUGAUACUUUUAACUACUACUCAGGGGACUAAUAGUGAUACUUUUAACUACUACUCAGGUGACCGUCUAGUGAUACUUUUAACUACUACUCAGGCGACUAAUAGUGAUACUUUUAACUACUACUCAGGUGACCGUCUAGUGAUACUUUUAACUACUACUCAGGCAACUAAUAAGGCCUAUGAGUCUCUUGUUUGU